AGCUUAGUGCGUGAUUUGGCUUGUGCCGGCGCAGAUUCCCCUAGGUCUGGAGCCGGUAACAUUUUUAACAAAUAAAAUAUCAAUAUUUCCAUUCCGAACUGCUUUCCAAGUCGAAGCGUCCACAAACUUAACCAGGUUAUUUCUGCGUUUUCUACAUACAGCUCAUCUGUCACCACUGGUGCUGCAGACUCUGAUCUGGGAUGGAGAUCUGAAGGGGACAAUUACAGCUGUUGACUAGCAGGCAGCCAGGUGCAGAGAGGGUGUGGGCAUGUUGGGUUCUGUCCCAGGACAUCUCGUUACAGCACACCGACACUGUGCUGAUGUGAUCCAGCGAGAGGAGUGUGAGGAUGAGGAGGCAGACCUUCCUCUGUAUGAACACUGAUUCAAUGCAAUAAGCUUUUGACAAAUUCAUUUUAAACAAACUUUACAAUAACACAAU
Long non-coding RNA from Carassius auratus (goldfish), 439 nucleotides. RefSeq lists it as uncharacterized. The transcript has 3 exons. The record is from RefSeq and is a predicted model, not a curated record. Lineage: Eukaryota; Metazoa; Chordata; Actinopteri; Cypriniformes; Cyprinidae.